This 2866-nucleotide long non-coding RNA is filed under the name Pan troglodytes (chimpanzee). RNAcentral's name for it is "long non-coding RNA NONPTRT011221". Lineage: Eukaryota; Metazoa; Chordata; Mammalia; Primates; Hominidae. The record is from RNAcentral.
CAGCGGCAACUGCGGUCUGGCCGGGGCAGGGCGGGAAGUUGGGGGCGUGGAGACAGAGGAAGGGUUUGGCUCUGACACCCACCCCUCGGGGCCUUGCUUUUCCCACUCGGGAGGGCGGGGGCUGGGGCAGCGGGUCCUUAGCACAGGGGUAGGAUCGGGGGUAAGUCAGUGCUGGAUCUGGGCAGAGGAGAGUCCAGGGCCUGCCUGUAGGUCUCGGCCCUUGCCCCACCCCCUGCCUCACCCAUCUCCCCCAGCAGUGCUCAGGUGACCACCCACCCGCCAUUCCCUCCCGUACCUCUGCACCCUCGCACCCCAGCUCUCCCACCCCCACAGGUGCUCAGAGGCUCACCCAUCCACCACUCCCUCCCGUACCUCUGCACCCUCGCACCCCAGCUCUCCCACCCCCACAAGCACUCAUAGGCUCACCCAUCCACCACUCCCUCCCGUGCCUCUGCACCCUCGCACCCCAGCUCUCCCACCCCCACAGGCACUCAGAGGCUCACCCAUCCGCCACUCCCUCCCGUGCCUCUGCACCCUCGCACCCCAGCUCUGCCACACCCACAGGCGCUCAGAGGCUCACCCAUCCGCCACUCCCUCCCGUGCCUCUGUAUCCCCACACCCCAGCUCUCCCACCCCCACAGGCGCUCAGAGGCUCACCCAUCCGCCACUCCCUCCAGUGCCUCUGUAUCCCCACACCCCAGCUCUCCCACCCCCACAGGCGCUCAGACACUCACCCAUCCGCCACUCCCUCCCGUACCUCUGCACCCUCGCACCCCAGCUCUCCCACCCCCACAGGUGCUCAGAGGCUCACCCAUCCGCCACUCCCUCCUGUACCUCUGCACCCUCGCACCCCAGCUCUCCCACCCACACGGGCGCUCAGGCGCUCACCCAUCCGCCGCGUCUCCGAAGCCAGGUUGCCAGGGUCUUGCGCACGAACUCCCCCAGGCAGUCCACGAGGGCGUGGACCAUGGCAGGCUGGGCCUGCCUCACACAGUCCACGGCCAGCCCCGCGGCCACCGCAUACAGGGACACCACCUUGCCCCACGUGAUGCCUGCAGGGAGAGAGAUGGUCAAGACCAGGACUUGAAUCCCGCCCAUGGGAGCACUUAAGGAAGGGGCUGGGCCUCUCUGAGCCGCUGUCCUGCUUGCCGUCCAGCUAAUGACCAGGGACCGUCCCAAGGGGGGACCGCUCCCUGACAGGAUGCCUGUCAGGUAGUUCUCAGGCAGGCAGGUUUCUCGGCCUCCACUGCACACCUGCCCAGCCCACGUCUGUGCAGGAGGCCGCAGGGACAACGUGGGGUGAGGCGGGGGAACUGAGGGCAGCAGCAGAUGGAGUGAGCAGCCAGUGACCUCACGGGUGGCACCCCUGGGCUGCCUGUUCCCACAACAGGCCUGGCGUCCACAUUUUACAUAUAAAGAAGCUGAGGCCUGCGGAGAAACCGCCUUCCCCAGACCCCUAACCUGCUGAGGCUGAACUGAGAUGGGAGCAGCCUUGAAAGAGAGGACGAAAGAUGGUGACAGCGGGGGAAAGAACAAAAGGCAGGACACGACGCCUCAACACGGAAAGACGUCUUAUACGUGAGCGAGAAAAGAGGGGCUUUCAAAAAAGAACUAUGAGCACAGAACUGGAACAGCUGAUUCACAAAAGAAAAUUAUAAUAAGAGACACGAAAAAUGUUUACCUUCAUUAAUAACCAAAGAAAGGCAAAUUAAAACAAGAUGUAAUCUGUUGCAUUAAAAGCUUUUACGCCAGGCGCGGUGGCUCACACCUGUAAUCCCAGCACUUUGGGAGGCCAAGGCGGGCAGAUCACAAGGUCGGGAGUUCAAGAGCAGCCUGACCAACAUGGUGAAACCCUGUCUCUACUAAAAAUACACAAAAAAUUAGCCAGGCGUGGUGGCACGCGCCUGUAAUCCCAGCUACUCGGGAGGCUGAAGCAGGAGAAUCACUUGAACCCGGGGAGGCAGAGGUUGCAGUGAGCUGAGAUCGCGCCAGUACACUCCAGCCUGGGCGACAGAGCGAGACCCCGUCUCUAAAUAAAUAAAUAAAUACAUGCUUUUAAAUGGCAGUGUGAGGAUUCAGGCCACUGCACAGCCUUGUAAACCUUGGUGGGAAGCCCAGCUUGAGGGCACUGGCAAUAUCCGAAUGGCCACAAAACAUGCAGCCCAGCAGUGAUCCCUGGAGGGAGUCAGCAGCGGUCCCUGGAGGGAGUUAGCCUGAGGACACUGUACAUGCAAAGAUGAAGCACUGCUCUCCAAUCCACCCUCAUACAGCGGCCAACCUGGAUUUGUUAUGAAAACAUAAAUCAGCUCAAACAAAUAGUCACAGACAUUCACAGCAGCCAAUUCACAAUUGCCAAAAGGUGGAAAGAACCCAAGUAGCCUUCAACAGAUAAAUGGAUACAAAUGUGGUGGAUGUUACUCAGCCACAGAAGGCAGGCUGGGCACAGUGGCUCACGCCUAUAAUCCCAGCACCUUGGAAGGCCGAGGUGGGCAGAUCACCUGAGGUCAGGAGUUCAAGACCAGCCCGGCCAACAUGGUGAAACCCCAUCUCUACUAAAAAUACAAAAAUUAGCCGGAUAUGGUGGUGGGCGCCUGUAAUCCCAGCUACUCGGGAGGCUGAAGCAGGGCAAUCACUUGAACCCAGGAGGUGGAGGUUGCAGUGAGCCCAGAUCGCACCACUGUACUCCAGCCUGGGAGACAGAGCAAGAUUCUAUGUCAAAAAAAUAAAUAAAUGGCCGGGCGCAGCGGCUCAUGCCUGUAAUCCCAGCAUUUUGGGAGGCCGAGGCAGGUGGAUCACGAGGUCAGGAGAUCGAAACCAUCCUGGCUAAAACGGUGAAACCCCAUCUCUACUAAAAACACAAAAAAUG